Triticum aestivum (bread wheat) is the source of this 134-nucleotide non-coding RNA. NCBI's taxonomy places the organism in Eukaryota, Viridiplantae, Streptophyta, Magnoliopsida, Poales, Poaceae. The record is from Rfam.
UUUGUACUCCCUCAGUCCCAAAUUCUUGUCUUAAAUUUGUCUAAAUACGGAUGUAUCUAGUUACAUUUUAGUGUUAGAUACAUCCAUAUCUAAACAUAUGUAAGACAAGAAUUUUGGGACGGAGGGAAUACUAC